GAACGAGAGCUUAACCUGCUAAUUAGCGGUAAGUACACUAUAUUUUUAUUUGAAAUUGAAUAUAGGUAAUUAUACAUGUUUAUUCAGUGUUCAAAUUAGGAUAUUUUUUUAUUAAAAUAUUCUUUUCCCUGUUCUACUAUAAUAAUUUGUUUUUUUUUACUCUAUUCUCUCUUCUUUUAAGAAUGUACUUGUUUGAUUAAAUAAAGCUUCUUAGAGGAACAGUGUGUAUCUAACACAAGGAAGUUUAAGGCAACAACAGGUCUGUGAUGUCCUUAGAUAAACUAGGCUGCACGCGUGCUACAAUGAUAUAUAUAACAAGUUGUUAAAAAUAGUACUUAUAAAUAAGUGUGUAUAGUUUUUCCUGUACUGAAAAGUAUAGGUAAUCUUUAUCAGU
This 394-nucleotide ribosomal RNA is filed under the name Plasmodium falciparum (malaria parasite P. falciparum). RNAcentral describes it as "partial 18S rRNA". It matches the Rfam family "Eukaryotic small subunit ribosomal RNA", at positions 1333 to 1561 of the family's 1831-position model. The record is from RNAcentral. Lineage: Eukaryota; Apicomplexa; Aconoidasida; Haemosporida; Plasmodiidae.